This 500-nucleotide ribosomal RNA is filed under the name uncultured bacterium. RNAcentral describes it as "partial 16S ribosomal RNA". It matches the Rfam family "Bacterial small subunit ribosomal RNA", at positions 30 to 523 of the family's 1533-position model. The record is from RNAcentral.
AUUGAACGCUGGCGGCAUGCCUUACACAUGCAAGUCGAACGGUAGCACGGGAGCAAUCCUGGUGGCGAGUGGCGAACGGGUGAGUAAAGUAUCGGAACGUGCCCAGUCGUGGGGGAUAACGUAGCGAAAGUUACGCUAAUACCGCAUACGAUCUAUGGAUGAAAGCGGGGGAUCGCAAGACCUCGCGCGAUUGGAGCGGCCGAUAUCAGAUUAGGUAGUUGGUGGGGUAAAGGCUCACCAAGCCGACGAUCUGUAGCUGGUCUGAGAGGACGACCAGCCACACUGGGACUGGGACACGGCCCAGACUCCUACGGGAGGCAGCAGUGGGGAAUUUUGGACAAUGGGCGAAAGCCUGAUCCAGCCAUGCCGCGUGCAGGAUGGAGGCCUUCGGGUUGUAAACUGCUUUUGUACGGAACGAAAAGGUUUGGGCUAAUAAGCUGAGCUCAUGACGGUACCGUAAGAAUAAGCACCGGCUAACUACGUGCCAGCCGCCGCCGUAA